GCUAUAAGAAGCAAUAACUGCAUUGGUUUUGUAAACCAAAAAAUGAAUCUAUUUCCUUUAGUA
RNAcentral lists this transfer RNA (63 nucleotides) under Siboglinum ekmani. RNAcentral describes it as "tRNA-Thr". The record is from RNAcentral. Lineage: Eukaryota; Metazoa; Annelida; Polychaeta; Sabellida; Siboglinidae.